UCGUGAGACAGUUCGGUCUCUAUCCUCCGUGGGCGUAAGUAAUUUGAGAAGAUCUGACCUUAGUACGAGAGGACCGGGUUGGACCAACCUAUGGUGUACCGGUUGUGGCGCCAGCUGCAUCGCCGGGUAGCUAAGUUGGGACGGGAUAACCACUGAAAGCAUCUAAGUGGGAAGCCUACUUCAAGAUAAGAUUACUAUUAAGGGUGCUUGUAGACUACGAGCUUGAUAGGUCA
RNAcentral lists this ribosomal RNA (233 nucleotides) under Alexandrium tamarense. RNAcentral's name for it is "partial Bacterial large subunit ribosomal RNA". It matches the Rfam family "Bacterial large subunit ribosomal RNA", at positions 2619 to 2863 of the family's 2925-position model. Lineage: Eukaryota; Dinophyceae; Gonyaulacales; Pyrocystaceae. The record is from RNAcentral.